RNAcentral lists this ribosomal RNA (940 nucleotides) under uncultured bacterium. Its description in RNAcentral is "bacterial SSU rRNA". It matches the Rfam family "Bacterial small subunit ribosomal RNA", at positions 28 to 1015 of the family's 1533-position model. The record is from RNAcentral.
AACGUACGCUGGCGGCACGCCUAACACAUGCAAGUCGAGCGAGGUAGCAAUACCUAGCGGCAGACGGGUGCGUAACAUGUGGGAAUCUGCCUUUUGGUUCGGAACAACACGGGGAAACCUGUGCUAAUACCGGAUAAGUCCUUACGGAGAAAGUUUUAAUGCCAAAAGAUGAGCCCGCAUUUGAUUAGCUAGUUGGUGAGGUAAAAGCUCACCAAGGCGAUAAUCAAUAGCUGAUUUGAGAGGAUGAUCAGCCACACUGGGACUGAGAUACGGCCCAGACUCCUACGGGAGGCAGCAGUGGGGAAUCUUGCACAAUGGGCGAAAGCCUGAUGCAGCGAUGCCGCGUGAGUGAAGAAGGCCUUUGGGUUGUAAAGCUCUUUUGUCGGGAAAGAUAAUGACUGUACCCGAAGAAUAAGGUCCGGCUAACUUCGUGCCAGCAGCCGCGGUAAUACGAAGGGACCUAGCGUAGUUCGGAAUUACUGGGCGUAAAGAGUAUGUAGGCGGCUAGAUAAGUUAAUUGUGAAAGCCCAAAGCUUAACUUUGGAAUUGCAAUUAAAACUAUUUAGCUGGAGUAUGAUAGAGGAAAGCGGAAUACAUAGUGUAGAGGUGAAAUUCGUAGAUAUUAUGUAGAACACCAGUUGCGAAGGCGGCUUUCUGGAUCAUUACUGACGCUGAGAUACGAAAGUAUGGGUAGCGAAGAGGAUUAGAUACCCUCGUAGUCCAUACCAUAAACGAUGAUUAUUAGAUGUGGGGAAUUAUUUCUCUGUAUCAUAGCUAACGCGUUAAAUAAUCCGCCUGGGGAGUACGACCGCAAGGUUAAAACUCAAAUGAAUUGACGGGGACCCGCACAAGCGGUGGAGCAUGUGGUUUAAUUCGAAGCAACGCGCAGAACCUUACCAACCCUUGACAUGUUUGUCGCGAGACUAAGAAAUUAGUCUCU